This 475-nucleotide small RNA is filed under the name Pongo abelii (Sumatran orangutan). Its description in RNAcentral is "retained intron". Lineage: Eukaryota; Metazoa; Chordata; Mammalia; Primates; Hominidae. The record is from RNAcentral.
GAGGCUGAGGCAGGAAAAUCACUUGAACCCAGGAGGUGGAGGUUGAAGUGAGCUGAGAUCACACCACUGCACUCCAGCCUGGGCAACAGAGCAAGACUCCGUCUCCAAAAAUAACAAAAAAUACAUACAUGCCUUCCUUUCUACUGCUGCACAACCUCACUGUGUCAGGCAGGCAUCUCUGGAUCCAGCUGGUUUUUGUUUCGCUGAGCUCGGCUUCUUCCUGGAACUUUUUGAAACAACACUCAAGGGUCUCAAGUGGGUAUUUUUUCAUGUUGUAUACCCAAAAACCUGAAAACCCAGGGCCCUGGGUUACAGUGUUUCUACGUCGUAUACCCAAAAACCUGAAAACCUGAGGACCCUGGGUUCCAGUACUUCCUGGCAGGCGAUCUUACCCACUACCACCAUGUAGUCAAUUUGAACCACCUCCUCAACCACCUAUGAGGGCCUAAACACUCUUUUACUCCCUUUCCUGCUA